This 650-nucleotide ribosomal RNA is filed under the name uncultured bacterium. RNAcentral describes it as "bacterial SSU rRNA". It matches the Rfam family "Bacterial small subunit ribosomal RNA", at positions 42 to 671 of the family's 1533-position model. The record is from RNAcentral.
UCAGGCCUAACACAUGCAAGUCGAGCGGAAACGAGUUAACUGAACCUUCGGGGAACGUUAACGGCGUCGAGCGGCGGACGGGUGAGUAAUGCCUGGGAAAUUGCCCUGAUGUAGGGGAUAACCAUUGGAAACGAUGGCUAAUACCGCAUAAUAGCUUCGGCUCAAAGAGGGGGACCUUCGGGCCUCUCGCGUCAGGAUAUGCCCAGGUGGGAUUAGCUAGUUGGUGAGGUAAGGGCUCACCAAGGCGACGAUCCCUAGCUGGUCUGAGAGGAUGAUCAGCCACACUGGAACUGAGACACGGUCCAGACUCCUACGGGAGGCAGCAGUGGGGAAUAUUGCACAAUGGGCGCAAGCCUGAUGCAGCCAUGCCGCGUGUAUGAAGAAGGCCUUCGGGUUGUAAAGUACUUUCAGCAGUGAGGAAGGCGGAGUCGUUAAUAGCGGCCUCGUUUGACGUUAGCUGCAGAAGAAGCACCGGCUAACUCCGUGCCAGCAGCCGCGGUAAUACGGAGGGUGCGAGCGUUAAUCGGAAUUACUGGGCGUAAAGCGCAUGCAGGUGGUUUGUUAAGUCAGAUGUGAAAGCCCGGGGCUCAACCUCGGAAUUGCAUUUGAAACUGGCAGACUAGAGUACUGUAGAGGGGGGUAGAAUUUCA